AUGACCAACUAAUAUAUAGGAAAGAAAAUAAUAGCUAGAAACGGUUGCUAAUACUCCAUAGGCUAAGGAGCAAAAUGAGGAAUUCAUUUGAGGAGUUCACGUUUAAUUAGUUAGUUAGUGAGGCAAUAGCUUGCCAAGAUGAUGAUCACUAGCUGGUCUGAAAGGAUGAUUAACCACACUAGGACUGAGGCACAUCCCAAACUCAUAUGGGAG
Molecule: non-coding RNA, 213 nt
Filed under: Ricinus communis (castor bean)
Lineage: Eukaryota; Viridiplantae; Streptophyta; Magnoliopsida; Malpighiales; Euphorbiaceae
Description: Bacterial small subunit ribosomal RNA
Rfam family: Bacterial small subunit ribosomal RNA
Source: Rfam by way of RNAcentral